UUACGGCCACAUCACGUUGAAAUACCGGUUUCUGUACGAUCACCGAAUUUAAGCAACGUCGAGCCUGGAAAGUAACUUGAUGGGUGACCUCUUGGGAAUACUAGACGCUGUAAG
Molecule: non-coding RNA, 114 nt
Organism: Acanthosepion pharaonis
Lineage: Eukaryota; Metazoa; Mollusca; Cephalopoda; Sepiida; Sepiidae
Source: the annotation of a GenBank genome assembly